RNAcentral lists this ribosomal RNA (247 nucleotides) under uncultured bacterium. Its description in RNAcentral is "partial 16S ribosomal RNA". It matches the Rfam family "Bacterial small subunit ribosomal RNA", at positions 523 to 769 of the family's 1533-position model. The record is from RNAcentral.
ACACGUAGGAGGCGAACGUUAUCCGGAUUUACUGGGUGUAAAGCGCGUGCAGGCGGUUCAGAAAGUUGGAUGUGAAAGCUCCUGGCUUAACUGGGAGAGGUCGUUCAAUACUUCUGGACUCGAGAGUGGGAGAGGGAGGUGGAAUUCCGGGUGUAGUGGUGAAAUGCGUAGAUAUCCGGAGGAACACCAGUGGCGAAAGCGGCCUCCUGGCCCAUUUCUGACGCUCAGACGCGAAAGCUAGGGUAGC